Molecule: non-coding RNA, 74 nt
Filed under: Ruminococcus sp.
Lineage: Bacteria; Bacillati; Bacillota; Clostridia; Eubacteriales; Oscillospiraceae
Source: RNAcentral
AGCCGAAACAGCGGAAAAAUUCUACUCCGCUGUCUGCCGUGAACGGUCACACGGUACUGAUGAGGCAGACCAAA